This 460-nucleotide ribosomal RNA is filed under the name uncultured bacterium. RNAcentral's name for it is "partial 16S ribosomal RNA". It matches the Rfam family "Bacterial small subunit ribosomal RNA", at positions 338 to 795 of the family's 1533-position model. The record is from RNAcentral.
CCUACGGGAGACAGCAGUGAGGAAUAUUGGUCAAUGGGCGGGAGCCUGAACCAGCCAAGUCGCGUGAGGGAAGACGGUCCUAUGGAUUGUAAACCUCUUUAGGCGGGGAGCAAUGCCGGGCACGCGUGCCCGGAGGGAGAUUACCCGCAGAAUAAGCAUCGGCUAAAUCCGUGCCAGCAGCCGCGGUAAUACGGAGGAUGCGAGCGUUAUCCGGAGUUAUUGGGGUUAAAGGGUGCGUAGGCGGAUUUUUAAGUCAGCGGUAAAAUGUCCGGGCUCAACCCGGGCCGGCCGUUGAAACUGGGGAUCUUGAGUGGGCGAGAAGUAUGCGGAAUGCGUGGUGUAGCGGUGAAAUGCAGAGAUAUCACGCAGAACUCCGAUUGCGAAGGCAGCAUACCGGCGCCCGACUGACGCUGAGGCACGAAAGCGUGGGGAUCGAACAGGAUUAGAUACCCUGGUAGUC